RNAcentral lists this non-coding RNA (30 nucleotides) under Homo sapiens (human). The record is from RNAcentral. Lineage: Eukaryota; Metazoa; Chordata; Mammalia; Primates; Hominidae.
UGAAUCCCAACAGCCUUGGAGCCUCAUAGU